Molecule: non-coding RNA, 359 nt
Organism: Zootoca vivipara (common lizard)
Lineage: Eukaryota; Metazoa; Chordata; Lepidosauria; Squamata; Lacertidae
Source: RefSeq, a predicted model, not a curated record
CAAUAACUGGUUCCAUGUGAUCCAGUACAGUAUGUUAUUCUGCAAUAUGACUGCAAUUGUAGAUGUGAUCUCAUAAGUUACCCUUAAUUACAAAUGGCCACAACUUCCAAGUAGCAGGCACUCUAAGCUUUCCCUCUUUUUCACAAUGCUUUGUUUCUUCAUACAGAUGGCACACCCAUCACAGUCACUUUAAACCACCACAUAAAGGGACAUGUCUCUAUAGGGAUGGGGAUUAGCCAACGAAAAAGUGCACCAGACAAGACGUCUGCUGCUCCCAGAGAGAGGUGACUGAAUUAAAGGCAAUUUAGACUUACCAGGAAUGUAAAGAGUGGGGGAAAUAGCAUCACAACUGAAGAAAA